UAAAUUUAGUUUAAUGAAAAAAUUUAUUAUUUACAAUAAUAAGAUUAUAAAAUUUAAAUUUAUAAAUUUAA
This 71-nucleotide transfer RNA is filed under the name Euceros serricornis. Its description in RNAcentral is "tRNA-Val". The record is from RNAcentral. Lineage: Eukaryota; Metazoa; Arthropoda; Insecta; Hymenoptera; Ichneumonidae.